AAAUGAAUAGACGGGAGCCCGCACAAGCGGUGGAUUAUGUGGUUUAAUUCGAAGCAACGCGCAGAACCUUACCUAGGUUUGACAUCCUUUGACAAUUACAGAGAUGUAACUUUCGUAGCAAUACGACAAAGAGACAGGUGCUGCAUGGCUGUCGUCAGCUCGUGUGGUGGCAUGUCGGGUUAAGUCCCUCAACGAGCGCAACCCCUAUCUUUAGUUGCCAGCAUUAAGUUGGGCACUCUAGAGAGACUGCCGUGGUUAACACGGAGGAAGGCGGGGAUGACGUCAAGUCCUCAUGGCCCUUACACCUAGGGCGACACACGUAAUACAAUGGUCGGUACAGAGGGAAGCGAAAUGGUGACAUGGAGCAAAUCUCAAAAAGCCGAUCUCAGUUCGGAUUGAAGUCUGCAACUCGACUUCAUGAAGGCGGAAUCGCUAGUAAUCGCGGAUCAGCACGCCGCGGUGAAUACGUUCCCGGGCUUUGUACACACCGCCCGU
This 495-nucleotide ribosomal RNA is filed under the name uncultured bacterium. Its description in RNAcentral is "bacterial SSU rRNA". It matches the Rfam family "Bacterial small subunit ribosomal RNA", at positions 903 to 1397 of the family's 1533-position model. The record is from RNAcentral.